GCCGCCGUGGUGGAAUGGUAGACACCACAGACUUAAAAUCUGUUGAUCUCACGGUCGUGCCGGUUCGAGUCCGGCCGGCGGCA
Molecule: transfer RNA, 83 nt
Filed under: Verrucomicrobiota bacterium
Lineage: Bacteria; Pseudomonadati; Verrucomicrobiota
Also listed under: 1 other name
Description: tRNA-Leu
Rfam family: tRNA
About the family: Transfer RNA (tRNA) molecules are approximately 80 nucleotides in length. Their secondary structure includes four short double-helical elements and three loops (D, anti-codon, and T loops).
Source: RNAcentral